GUCUAUGGUCAUGCCACCCUGAACAUGUCCGAUCUCAUCCGAUCUUGGAAGCUAAGCAUGGUUGGGCCUGGUUAGUACUUGGAUGGGAGACCAUGUAGGAAUACCAAGUGCUGUAGGCG
This 119-nucleotide ribosomal RNA is filed under the name Pteropus alecto (black flying fox). The record is from RNAcentral. Lineage: Eukaryota; Metazoa; Chordata; Mammalia; Chiroptera; Pteropodidae.